Malus domestica (apple) is the source of this 677-nucleotide non-coding RNA. The record is from RefSeq and is a predicted model, not a curated record. NCBI's taxonomy places the organism in Eukaryota, Viridiplantae, Streptophyta, Magnoliopsida, Rosales, Rosaceae.
UGUUCUUCUCUUUGGUUUUUGGGGUGCAAAAAUGCCGGUUUUGUCCAUGCUAGACGCGUGUUGGUAAGGGAAUGAUGCUGAAUUUACGCGUGUUGGUCAUCUGGGAAAGGAAGAAAGGUGGAAAGGCAGAGCUCUUUCAUUUGCUUCCACAGAUUUCUCGAGCUCUCUCUCAAGCCCGGAACCCUAGCCUCUGCAAGCGAAUCAGGUACAAAGAAUGGUGUGGACUAUGAAGGAAGCUUGCUUUGUGUUGGAAGUAUGUUGAUGUCUUGGGCUCCCAUCGAAAUCUCUGAUAUCACUCCUCCUGAUAGGGGAGAAAUUCUAUGUUCCGAAUGUCGAUCAUUACACAACAAACAUGUAAGUAAAGAUAUGUACUCGGGUGCUCUUUUGCGCCUACCUAGCCCGUGGUCCUGCUCAAGGAAGGAUGAUACAUACGUCCGGUGCGGCCGUACACAUGAUUCAAGAAAUCCUACGUCCAACCGCCCAUGCAACCCUAGAUCAUUGCAUCAUUUGAUAUAUAGUCCUCCAUUAAAGAAACGAAUCAUCUUCGUUAGAGUACUAAUUAUACAUUUUCUUGGGUACCAUAUUGUUCAGCUAGGAGCUAACUAGCAAUUAAAGUAACAGUCAAUCAAUCUUUCAAAUUUCACCAACGAAAUGGUAGCAGCCCUCCUCCAUGGCUU